GGAAGAGUGUUUCAGUUCUAAAUUUUUAUUUAUUUUUAAAUUUAAUGUAAAUUUUUGUGUUAUACUAAAGUUCGUUAUAAAUAGGGGGGCUUACCUGAAAUUCAGUGGUUACAGUAAUUAGUUUUUUAAAUUUAAAAAUUUAAGAUAAAGAUAAUAAUAUUUAGUACAAACUAAAUUUGUGCCAGCAGUUGCGGUUACACAAAUUGUGCUAUAAAAAUAGUUUAGAUGAAGUUAAAAAUUAAGUUAGAUAAGUUAAAAAUUUAGAGUAAUUUUAUUAGGUGAAAUUUUAUUUUUAUAAAAUUUUUAAAUAUAUAAUAUUUUGAAGCUUAGAAAUUUUGUUUUAAAACUAGGAUUAGAUACCCUAUUAUUAAAAUGUAAUUAUUUUAUCUAAAUUAGUGCUAGGAGAGAAAAUUAGUAGAGAUUUUAUAUUCUUGAAAAUUAAGAAGAAUGGCGGUAUUUUAGUCUUUUCAGAGGAACCUGUCCUGUAAUUGAUAGUCCACGAUUUUUAUUACUUUUUUUUUUAGUUUAUAUAUCGCUGUGGUUGAAUAUUUUUUUUGAGGGGUUUAAUAUUCAGAGUUUUUAAAAAAAGAAAUUCAGGUCAAGAUGUAGCUUAUAAAAAAGAAGAGAUGGGUUACAAUAAUUUAAAUUUUGGAAAAAUUUUUUAAAAUAAUCUUAAAAUUGGAUUUGAGAGUAAUUAUGUAAAAUUCAUACAAAAUGAUUUUAGCUCUAAAAUGUGUACAUAUCGCCCGUCGCUUUCAUUUUAAAAUGAAAUAAGUCGUAACAUAGUAGGUGUACUGGAAGGUGUCUCUAGAAGACA
RNAcentral lists this non-coding RNA (817 nucleotides) under Ips nitidus. Lineage: Eukaryota; Metazoa; Arthropoda; Insecta; Coleoptera; Curculionidae. The record is from RNAcentral.